UUUAUGGAGAGUUUGAUCCUGGCUCAGGAUUAACGCUGGCGGCGUGCCUAACACAUGCAAGUCGAACGAGGUAGCAAUACCUAGUGGCAGACGGGUGAGUAACGCGUGGUCAACCUACCGUUGUGUGGGGGAUAA
This is a ribosomal RNA of 135 nucleotides. It matches the Rfam family "Bacterial small subunit ribosomal RNA", at positions 1 to 146 of the family's 1533-position model.